AUGUCAGCGGUUCGAGUCUGCUUAUCUCCAGCCCGUGAACUUAGCGGAUACUAUGAUAGCGAUAGCACCGAAAUUUGCCAAUUCGGCAGUUCGAUCUAUGAUUUCACAUUCAUGGACAUUGAUAAGAUCCUUCCAUUUAGUAGCACCUUAGGAUGGCAUAGCCUUAACGUUAAUGGCGAGGUUCAAAAGAGGAAAGGCUUGCGGUGGAUACCUAGGCACCCAGAGACGAGGAAGGGCAUAGCAAGCGACGAAAUGCUUCGGGGAGUUGAAAACAAGCAUAGAUCCGGAGAUUCCCAAAUAGGUCAACCUUUUAAACUGCCUGCUGAAUCCAUGAGCAGGCAAGAGACAACCUGGCGAACUGGAACAUCUUAG
Molecule: ribosomal RNA, 372 nt
Filed under: Triticum aestivum (bread wheat)
Lineage: Eukaryota; Viridiplantae; Streptophyta; Magnoliopsida; Poales; Poaceae
Description: partial small subunit ribosomal RNA
Rfam family: Bacterial large subunit ribosomal RNA (bases 181-372)
Source: RNAcentral